Molecule: transfer RNA, 82 nt
Filed under: Clostridiales bacterium
Lineage: Bacteria; Bacillati; Bacillota; Clostridia; Eubacteriales
Description: tRNA-Tyr
Rfam family: tRNA
About the family: Transfer RNA (tRNA) molecules are approximately 80 nucleotides in length. Their secondary structure includes four short double-helical elements and three loops (D, anti-codon, and T loops).
Source: RNAcentral
GGGUGGUUUCCCGAGUGGCCAAAGGGGGCAGACUGUAAAUCUGUUAGUUAAUCUUUCGGAGGUUCGAAUCCUCCACCACCCA